This 477-nucleotide ribosomal RNA is filed under the name uncultured Comamonadaceae bacterium. RNAcentral describes it as "bacterial SSU rRNA". It matches the Rfam family "Bacterial small subunit ribosomal RNA", at positions 97 to 570 of the family's 1533-position model. Lineage: Bacteria; Pseudomonadati; Pseudomonadota; Betaproteobacteria; Burkholderiales; Comamonadaceae. The record is from RNAcentral.
GGCGAACGGGUGAGUAAUGCAUCGGAACGUGCCCAGUCGUGGGGGAUAACGCAGCGAAAGUUGUGCUAAUACCGCAUACGAUCUAUGGAUGAAAGCGGGGGACCUUCGGGCCUCGCGCGAUUGGAGCGGCCGAUGUUAGAUUAGGUAGUUGGUGGGGUAAAGGCUCACCAAGCCAACGAUCUAUAGCUGGUCUGAGAGGACGACCAGCCACACUGGAACUGAGACACGGUCCAGACUCCUACGGGAGGCAGCAGUGGGGAAUUUUGGACAAUGGGCGAAAGCCUGAUCCAGCAAUACCGCGUGCAGGAAGAAGGCCCUCGGGUUGUAAACUGCUUUUGUACGGAACGAAACGGCGCGCUCUAAUAAAGUGCGCUAACGACGGUACCGUAAGAAUAAGCACCGGCUAACUACGUGCCAGCAGCCGCGGUAAUACGGAUGGUGCGAGCGUUAAUCGGAAUUACUGGGCGUAAAGCGCGC